Molecule: ribosomal RNA, 253 nt
Filed under: uncultured bacterium
Lineage: Bacteria
Description: partial 16S ribosomal RNA
Rfam family: Bacterial small subunit ribosomal RNA
Source: RNAcentral
UACGGGGGGUGCAAGCGUUGUUCGGAAUUAUUGGGCGUAAAGCGCACGUAGGCGGAUUGCUAAGUCAGGGGUGAAAUCCUGGAGCUCAACUCCAGAACUGCCUUUGAUACUGGCGAUCUCGAGUCCGGGAGAGGUGAGUGGAACUGCGAGUGUAGAGGUGAAAUUCGUAGAUAUUCGCAAGAACACCAGUGGCGAAGGCGGCUCACUGGCCCGGUACUGACGCUGAGGUGCGAAAGCGUGGGGAGCAAACAGG